UGUGGACCCUGUCCCUCCCAGCGCUUUGGUGGGUUCUGCGCCUGUCCGGGCUAGGGAGCGCGUCCCGAGCCAGGAUCUAAGGAUCUUAUGGUUCGCAAGACAAGGAGGAAUGGAGGGGUGUAUGGAAUGGGCAUCUAGGAACUACUUCUUGUUCGAAAGUUUACAGAGACCAAAAGUUUGAGCUGGCGCUGCGGAAGGAUCAGGCUUUGUGUGUAGCCGCCCUCUGCGACAUUUGGCCAGAAUUUGCAUUUCAAUAGUAGAGGAGGUACGGGUCUUGUGGGAAAGGAAAGCUGCACGGGGAACCAGCUCCAUCCUGGAGUUAGGUCUAGGACCGUGGGCAGGAGCAGCUGAAGUCAAGUUUGGGGGGAAUCCUGGGGCAGGAGUUUAAAUGUGGCGCCCUGGCAGCGUUGCGCGUGUCCUGUCCCUAGGGCUCCACUCCUGGGAGCUGUUUGGUCUCGGCUAUAGGCAUCAGGAGGAUUGAGGCCAGGCACUCUUAGCCAUGACUUCCGGAACGCUUGACCUUAAACGAUGAUGGCGUCGCGCCCGCAGCCUCUGUAGAAGGGAGUUCGGGGCUCCCUAAGGGAACUCCCCAAGGACUAGUGCCUUGCUGGACAGAUUGCGCUCUCGAUUCCCAGCAGGAACCCGAGUCUAGACGUUCCACGGUCACCCUUCUCACUGGUCCCUGGCUGUGUCCGACUUAGGUGGCCUGGGAAAGUGCAGAGUUCCAGUACAAUGACUGCUAGCGUCAACACAGCCUCUCAUGCUUUAUCUCCACCUUGAUGUUUGGACAUCCUGUGCUAAGCUGCUUAGCACUGGGCGUCCAAGAUGCCUUCCUUAUCCCUUUGCAGUUAAAGUUCAAUGGAAUCUGGAACGAACAACACCUCCCCAUCCUAAAACACGGUGCUUUGUCAGCAGGCAGCCUGACUUGGAUACAAAGAAGGCCUUAUCCUUCUGGAGUCUGGAGACCUGCGCUGACCUGGCGACAUCUGCCUACCUGCCAUCCCGUCUGUCCAUGGGUGUCUGUAUCUCUUCCACUGUCUUUGUCUAGCAAUGAGUAUGGCUGCACAGCAGACCAGCUGAACACAAA
This is a long non-coding RNA of Mus musculus (house mouse), 1087 nucleotides long. RefSeq annotates it as predicted gene, 35978. NCBI's taxonomy places the organism in Eukaryota, Metazoa, Chordata, Mammalia, Rodentia, Muridae. The transcript has 2 exons. The record is from RefSeq and is marked validated.